RNAcentral lists this ribosomal RNA (502 nucleotides) under uncultured bacterium. RNAcentral's name for it is "partial 16S ribosomal RNA". It matches the Rfam family "Bacterial small subunit ribosomal RNA", at positions 30 to 523 of the family's 1533-position model. The record is from RNAcentral.
AUUGAACGCUGGCGGCAUGCCUUACACAUGCAAGUCGAACGGCAGCACGGGUGCUUGCACCUGGUGGCGAGUGGCGAACGGGUGAGUAAUACAUCGGAACGUACCUUAUCGUGGGGGAUAACGCAGCGAAAGCUGUGCUAAUACCGCAUACGCCCUGAGGGGGAAAGCGGGGGAUCGAAAGACCUCGCGCGAUUAGAGCGGCCGAUGCCUGAUUAGCUUGUUGGUGGGGUAAAGGCUCACCAAGCCGACGAUCUGUAGCUGGUCUGAGAGGGCGACCAGCCACACUGGGACUGAGACACGGCCCAGACUCCUACGGGAGGCAGCAGUGGGGAAUUUUGGACAAUGGGCGAAAGCCUGAUUCAGCAAUGCCGCGUGCAGGAUGAAGGCCUUCGGGUUGUAAACUGCUUUUGUACGGAACGAAACGGCGAACUCUAAUACAGUUUGCUAAUGACGGUACCGUAAGAAUAAGCACCGGCUAACUACGUGCCAGCAGCCGCGGUAA